This 73-nucleotide transfer RNA is filed under the name Cricetulus griseus (Chinese hamster). It matches the Rfam family "tRNA". From Rfam's summary of the family: Transfer RNA (tRNA) molecules are approximately 80 nucleotides in length. Lineage: Eukaryota; Metazoa; Chordata; Mammalia; Rodentia; Cricetidae. The record is from Rfam by way of RNAcentral.
GAGGAUGUGGUUCAAUUGGUAGGAUGCUUGCCUAUCAUGCAGGAAGUCCUGGGUUUGAUAUCCAGCAUCAUAU